RNAcentral lists this long non-coding RNA (377 nucleotides) under Triticum aestivum (bread wheat). RNAcentral describes it as "long non-coding RNA (TAES_LNC000715)". The record is from RNAcentral. Lineage: Eukaryota; Viridiplantae; Streptophyta; Magnoliopsida; Poales; Poaceae.
UCGGGUCCUGAAAGGGAGUACGUGCCCCACUAUGCUCAGAGGAUGCCAUAUUGUCAACUCAGUUUGUCAUGCAGAUCAUGAUGUACUGUAAGUAUCAAAUUUUACAGUACAAAUUACAGAUUAAAAGAGCAAUUUCCUUUUGUCAUCUGCCUGAUCAUCUAUACUUGCCAAUUCAAAUGAUCUAACCUUUGCGCUGGCAGGUCAGAAAGUAGUCAUAUGUCCUCAGAUGCUGCGGGCCACAAGGGGUGAUGACACCGGAGGUAGGGCAACACGCCGAGUCGAGGACGUCCACCGGGUGGAGGACGUCGCGGCUAACAGGGGCGACGGCGGUGUGGCGACGACGGCGGGGCGAGGAGAGGUAGGGCAACAAGGUGGGU